Long non-coding RNA from Pistacia vera, 221 nucleotides. RefSeq lists it as uncharacterized. The record is from RefSeq and is a predicted model, not a curated record. Lineage: Eukaryota; Viridiplantae; Streptophyta; Magnoliopsida; Sapindales; Anacardiaceae. The transcript is spliced from 3 exons.
UACCACCAAACAUUUGAUAGAGUUCCUCAAUCCUCACACAGUAAGAGAAACUAAGAAAGAGUGAAGUGAAGGGCUUCGCAGCUGAUUAUUAGACUCCAUAUUGCUCCAUGCUGAUGGAAAUGAAAGCCCUUUGUGCAAACCGCUUGUCCAAUUUUUCAUCUCUCUUUAGAGGAACUCUUUGCAUCACGAGGACUCGACUUACUUUUCCUGAGAAUCUCUUG